This 257-nucleotide ribosomal RNA is filed under the name uncultured bacterium. Its description in RNAcentral is "partial 16S ribosomal RNA". It matches the Rfam family "Bacterial small subunit ribosomal RNA", at positions 524 to 776 of the family's 1533-position model. The record is from RNAcentral.
UACGUAGGGCGCAAGCGUUAUCCGGAAUUAUUGGGCGUAAAGAGCUCGUAGGCGGUGUGUCGCGUCGGCCGUGAAAACCUGCAGCUUAACUGUGGCGUGCGGUCGAUACGGGCAUCACUGGAGUUCGGCAGGGGAGACUGGAAUUCCUGGUGAUAGCGGUGAAAUGCGCAGAUAUCAGGAGGAACACCGGUGGCGAAGGCGGGUCUCUGGGCCGAUAACUGACGCUGGAGGAAGCGAAAGCAUGGGUAGCGAACAGG